UUCGUUGCUGGUUUUCUUUUCAAUUUCUUUUUUUUUUCUUUUUCUUUCUUCUUUCAUUUUUUCUUUUUUCUUGGUAUUUUGGGGGGACAAAAUCAUGAGCACGAGAACAAAUUAAAGAAAAUGUGGAGAAGAGUUAGGAAACUCAAGAUUCAAACAAAUCCAAGCAAAAAAGGAUUUUAUCUUUAAUUUUUGUAUUUUCUUUAUUAUUUUCUAUCAUUUGUAAUGGCUGUCGGCUCAAGCCGACCAUGGCUCCGCCCAAAAAAAGCUCGAGCUAACCUGGCUCAAAACUCAGUGGAAUCGAGAUGAAACUCGGGCCGAGAUCCAUUUUGGACAUUAGCCCGAGCCAUGCGGGCCACUUUCGACCCGCAACUAGGCAACCAUAUAUAUGAAGCUGACACACAGCUCUGUAUUCUCAGUUGCUUCCUUUUGCUACUACUAGCUGCCAACUAACAACUUUAAUUAAUUUUACUAUUUGCCUUUCAAUGUUUAAAUGCUGAUUUUCAUUUAUGCGGCUAAUGAAUUAUUAAGUUUAGUGAUUUGUAC
Molecule: long non-coding RNA, 543 nt
Filed under: Olea europaea (common olive)
Lineage: Eukaryota; Viridiplantae; Streptophyta; Magnoliopsida; Lamiales; Oleaceae
Description: long non-coding RNA (OEUR_LNC010095)
Source: RNAcentral